Molecule: ribosomal RNA, 384 nt
Filed under: uncultured prokaryote
Description: bacterial SSU rRNA
Rfam family: Archaeal small subunit ribosomal RNA
Source: RNAcentral
GCGAAAACUUUACAAUGCUGGCAACAGCGAUAAGGGAACCUCGAGUGCCAGGUUACAAAUCUGGCUGUCGAGAUGCCUAAAAAGCAUUUCAUAGCAAGGGCCGGGCAAGCCCGGUGCCAGCCGCCGCGGUAACACCGGCGGCUCGAGUGGUAACCGUUAUUAUUGGGUCUAAAGGGUCUGUAGCCGGCCGGAUAAGUCUCUUGAGAAAUCUGGCAGCUUAACUGUCAGGCUUUCAGGAGAUACUGUCUGGCUCGAGGCCGGGAGGGGUGAGAAGUACUUCGGGGGUAGGGGUGAAAUCUUGUAAUCCUUGAAGGACCACCAGUGGCGAAGGCGUCUCACCAGAACGGACCUGACGGCAAGGGACGAAAGCUAGGGGCACGAACC